UGAGACUAUAAGGAGAACCAGUACUGAGUCAAUGUGCAGGGUACCAGGUAGUUGAGGUAAUAAUGAGGCUAUAAGGAGAACCAGUACUGAGUCAAUGUGCAGGGUACCAGGUAGUUGAGGUAAUAAUGAGACUAUAAGGAGAACCAGUACUGAGUCAAUGUGCAGGGUACCAGGUAGUUGAGGUAAUAAUGAGACUAUAAGGAGAACCAGUACUGAGUCAAUGUGCAGGGUACCAGGUAGUUGAGGUAAUAAUGAGACUAUAAGGAGAACCAGUACUGAGUCAAUGUGCAGGGUACCAGGUAGUUGAGGUAAUAAUGAGACUAUAAGGAGUACCAGUACUGAGUCAAUGUGCAGGGUACCAGGUAGUUGAGGUAAUAAUGAGACUAUAAGGAGUACCAGUACUGAGUCAAUGUGCAGGGUACCAGGUAGUUGAGGUAAUAAUGAGGCUAUAAGGAGAACCAGUACUGAGUCAAUGUGCAGGGUACCAGGUAGUUGAGGUAAUAAUGAGACUAUAAGGAGAACCAGUACUGAGUCAAUGUGCAGGGUACCAGGUAGUUGAGGUAAUAAUGAGACUAUAAGGAGAACCAGUACUGAGUCAAUGUGCAGGGUACCAGGUAGUUGAGGUAAUAAUGAGACUAUAAGGAGAACCAGUACUGAGUCAAUGUGCAGGGUACCAGGUAGUUGAGGUAAUAAUGAGGCUAUAAGGAGUACCAGAACUGAGUCAAUGUGCAGGGUACCAGGUAGUUGAGGUAAUAAUGAGACUAUAAGGAGUACCAGUACUGAGUCAAUGUGCAGGUUACCAGGUAGUUGAGGUAAUAAUGAGACUAUAAGGAGUACCAGUACUGAGUCAAUGUGCAGGGUACCAGGUAGUUGAGGUAAUAAUGAGGCUAUAAGGAGAACCAGUACUGAGUCAAUGUGCAGGGUACCAGGUAGUUGAGGUAAUAAUGAGACUAUAAGGAGUACCAGUACUGAGUCAAUGUGCAGGUUACCAGGUAGUUGAGGUAAUAAUGAGACUAUAAGGAGUACCAGUACUGAGUCAAUGUGCAGGGUACCAGGUAGUUGAGGUAAUAAUGAGACUAUAAGGAGUACCAGUACUGAGUCAAUGUGCAGGGUACCAGGGAGUUGAGGUAAUAAUGACACUAUAAGGAGUACCAGUACUGAGUCAAUGUGCAGGGUACCAGGUAGUUGAGGUAAUAAUGAGACUAUAAGGAGAACCAGUACUGAGUCAAUGUGCAGGUUACCAGGUAGUUGAGGUAAUAAUGAGACUAUAAGGAGUACCAGUACUGAGUCAAUGUGCAGGGUACCAGGUAGUUGAGGUAAUAAUGAGACUAUAAGGAGUACCAGUACUGAGUCAAUGUGCAGGGUACCAGGUAGUUGAGGUAAUAUGUACAUGUAGUUCGGGGAAAAAGUGACUAGGCAAUCAGGAUGGAGGUUACAUCUCCUCACCCAGGGAGCUCACACUCACGCACACACACACACACUCACUCACUCACACACACACACACACUCACUCACUCACACACAGAUACACACACACACACACACACACACACACACACACACACACACACACACACACACACACACACACACACACACACACACACACACACACACACACAGGGAGGGAAUGUUGUGUUUGUUUAAUAUUGUUUUAGGACUAUGAAAAUAGACAAAAUGAUUAGCCUAUGGAUUAUGAAAACAACAACAAUAAAUGGGAAAAUGGGAGGAGAAAUGACUAGAGACAGUGUUGUUUAACUCACUGACCAGGACCCAUGAGUUC
Molecule: long non-coding RNA, 1783 nt
Organism: Oncorhynchus keta (chum salmon)
Lineage: Eukaryota; Metazoa; Chordata; Actinopteri; Salmoniformes; Salmonidae
Exons: 5
Source: RefSeq, a predicted model, not a curated record